Molecule: long non-coding RNA, 699 nt
Filed under: Monodelphis domestica (gray short-tailed opossum)
Lineage: Eukaryota; Metazoa; Chordata; Mammalia; Didelphimorphia; Didelphidae
Description: lncRNA (ENSMODG00000035688.2)
Source: RNAcentral
CCUAAAGCAAAUAUUAUGAUUAAUUAAGCCAUAGGGCUAAUGAGGUCCAUUUGGAGUAAUUAGGAUCUUAGCUGCUAAAGACAGGGUAAAUAAUAGUGGGUAAGGUUUCUUUAAGGCCAGACAGAAUCUUGGGGAGGGUGCCUGUUGGAAUUCUGGGUAGCUUGAGUCAGUUGGGGUUUCUAACUGCCAACAGACUCCUGGAGGUUUUUUCCCUAGGAGAAGGUUGGUGUUUCUGUUCCCUGGAACACUGAAAAACCCCAGUGGCAGGUGAAGGAGGAGAACAGGCUGGUCUACAUCAGGUAUAAAGUCAGGAAUAGAACUUCUGAAUCAAAGACUCAUCAAAGUAUUGACGUCGAGAGCUGGAAGUGACCUCAGAGAUCAUCUUAUCUCAUCUCAAUUUACAGGCACUGAAGACACACACACAAUUGGAACUUUCCCUACCAGCAUGGAAGGGAUACUUUCAGGCAGAUGGAGUUGGAGGUAUGGCCAUGAAAAAUUCCAUGGAAGCAUAGCCUAAAGGAGACACCAACCCUACCCAUAGGCAGCAUGGGGUGAUCACCCAUCAGUCAUCAAUAACGCACUACCUAUUAUUUUAUCCAAAGCCCUUCCUUCUAUAAUGUAUAAAAUUACAUGUAAGUGUUACUAGCUUUAAUGAUCACACUCUCUAGUGACUAUUAAUAAAAUGCAUAUUUUAUUGCA